UUUCAGUACUGCUAUAUAUCUUCGUUCAGUUUUCAACGAUGAUGAAGAGCAAUGCAUUUUUGUUGUUUAUAAUUUUUCUCAAAUAAAAAUAAACUUUUCCAACGAUUAAAUUCA
This is a non-coding RNA of Caenorhabditis elegans, 114 nucleotides long. Lineage: Eukaryota; Metazoa; Nematoda; Chromadorea; Rhabditida; Rhabditidae. The record is from Ensembl.